This 35-nucleotide transfer RNA is filed under the name synthetic construct. The record is from RNAcentral.
GGCCCGGGGCGGUUCGAUUCCGCCCUGGGCCACCA